GUAAGGAAUAUUGGACAAUGGUCGCAAGACUGAUCCAGCCAUGCCGCGUGCAGGAUGAACGAUCUAUGAUCUGUAAACUGCUUUUGUUCGGGAAUAAACCCCUUCACGUGUGGAGGGCUGAAUGUACCGAAAGAAUAAGGGUCGGCUAACUUCGUGCCAGCAGCCGCGGUAAGACGAAGGACCCAAGCGUUAUCCGGAUUUAUUGGGUUUAAAGGGUGCGUAGGCGGGUUGUUAAGUCAGUGGUGAAAGCCUAGAGCUUAACUCUAGAAUUGCCAUUGAUACUGACGAUCUUGAGGAUAGUUGAGGUGGGCGGAAUGUAUCAUGUAGCGGUGAAAUGCUUAGAGAUGAUACAGAACACCGAUUGCGAAGGCAGCUCACUAAGCUAUUUCUGACGCUGAGGCACGAAAGCGUGGGGAUCAAACAGGAUUAGAAACCCCAGUAGUCC
This 445-nucleotide ribosomal RNA is filed under the name uncultured bacterium. RNAcentral describes it as "bacterial SSU rRNA". It matches the Rfam family "Bacterial small subunit ribosomal RNA", at positions 354 to 796 of the family's 1533-position model. The record is from RNAcentral.